GAUGAACGCUGGCGGCGUGCCUAAUACAUGCAAGUCGAGCGAACGGACGAGAAGCUUGCUUCUCUGAUGUUAGCGGCGGACGGGUGAGUAACACGUGGAUAACCUACCUAUAAGACUGGGAUAACUUCGGGAAACCGGAGCUAAUACCGGAUGAUAUUUUGAACCGCAUGGUUCAAUAGUGAAAGACGGUUUUGCUGUCACUUAUAGAUGGAUCCGCGCUGCAUUAGCUAGUUGGUAAGGUAACGGCUUACCAAGGCAACGAUGCGUAGCCGACCUGAGAGGGUGAUCGGCCACACUGGAACUGAGACACGGUCCAGACUCCUACGGGAGGCAGCAGUAGGGAAUCUUCCGCAAUGGGCGAAAGCCUGACGGAGCAACGCCGCGUGAGUGAUGAAGGUCUUCGGAUCGUAAAACUCUGUUAUUAGGGAAGAACAAAUGUGUAAGUAACUAUGCACGUCUUGACGGUACCUAAUCAGAAAGCCACGGCUAACUACGUG
RNAcentral lists this ribosomal RNA (497 nucleotides) under uncultured bacterium. RNAcentral's name for it is "partial 16S ribosomal RNA". It matches the Rfam family "Bacterial small subunit ribosomal RNA", at positions 28 to 507 of the family's 1533-position model. The record is from RNAcentral.